This 403-nucleotide unclassified non-coding RNA is filed under the name soil metagenome. Its description in RNAcentral is "partial contains 5.8S ribosomal RNA, internal transcribed spacer 2, and large subunit ribosomal RNA". The stretch from base 1 to 121 matches the Rfam family "5.8S ribosomal RNA", at positions 35 to 154 of the family's 154-position model. The record is from RNAcentral.
GAUGAAGAACGUAGCGAAAUGCGAUAAGUAAUGUGAAUUGCAGAAUUCAGUGAAUCAUCGAAUCUUUGAACGCACCUUGCGCCCUUUGGCUAUUCCGAAGGGCAUGCCUGUUUGAGUAUCAUGAACACCUCAACUCUUCACGGCUUGCCGUGAUGAGUUUGGACUUUGGGGGUCUUGCUGGCCUACGAGCCAGCUCCUCUCAAAUGUAUUAGCUUGCCGGUGUUUGGUGGCAUCACAGGUGUGAUAACUAUCUACGCUUGUGGUUUUCCACUAGGUAACCUUCAGCAAUGGAGGUUCACCGGAGCUCACAAAUGUCUCUCCUUGCCAAGGACAGAUUUUGACUAUUUGAUCUCAAAUCAGGUAGGACUACCCGCUGAACUUAAGCAUAUCAAUAAGCGGAGGA